Molecule: ribosomal RNA, 390 nt
Filed under: uncultured bacterium
Lineage: Bacteria
Description: bacterial SSU rRNA
Rfam family: Bacterial small subunit ribosomal RNA
Source: RNAcentral
AUUGAACGCUGGCGGCAUGCCUUACACAUGCAAGUCGAACGGCAGCACGGGGGCAACCCUGGUGGCGAGUGGCGGACGGGUGAGUAAUGCAUCGGAACGUGCCCUGAAGUGGGGGAUAACGCAGCGAAAGCUACGCUAAUACCGCAUAUUCUGUGAGCAGGAAAGCAGGGGAUCGCAAGACCUUGCGCUUUGGGAGCGGCCGAUGUCGGAUUAGCUAGUUGGUGGGGUAAAGGCCUACCAAGGCGACGAUCCGUAGCGGGUCUGAGAGGAUGAUCCGCCACACUGGGACUGAGACACGGCCCAGACUCCUACGGGAGGCAGCAGUGGGGAAUUUUGGACAAUGGGCGAAAGCCUGAUCCAGCCAUGCCGCGUGAGUGAAGAAGGCCUCGG